AGUCUGGUGCCAGCAGCCGCGGUAAUUCCAGCUCCAAUAGCGUAUAUUAAAGUUGUUGCAGUUAAAAAGCUCGUAGUUGAAUUUCGGGAUCAAUUUAUUGGUCGUGCUAUUGUACGUACUGGUAUUAUUGAUUCCUACCUUCUGACGAACCAUGAUGUCAUUAAUUUGGUGUCAUGGGGAAUCAGGACUGUUACUUUGAAAAAAUUAGAGUGUUUAAAGCAGGCA
This 225-nucleotide ribosomal RNA is filed under the name uncultured Glomus. RNAcentral describes it as "partial 18S ribosomal RNA". It matches the Rfam family "Eukaryotic small subunit ribosomal RNA", at positions 558 to 786 of the family's 1831-position model. Lineage: Eukaryota; Fungi; Glomeromycota; Glomeromycetes; Glomerales; Glomeraceae. The record is from RNAcentral.